CUGGCGGCGUGGAUAAGACAUGCAAGUCGAGCGCUGAUUGCAGGGUAGCAAUAUUCUGCAGUGGAGCGGCGCAAGGGUGCGUAACACGUGGGUAAUCUGCCAUGAAGUUUGGGAUAACUUGCUGAAAGGCGAGCUAAUACCGGAUGUGAAAAUUGGAAGGCAUCCUUUGAUUUUCAAAGCUGGGGAUCCGCAAGGACCUGGCGCUUCAUGAUGAGCCCGCGGCCUAUCAGCUAGUUGGUAAGGUAACGGCUUACCAAGGCUAAGACGGGUAGCUGGUCUGAGAGGACGACCAGCCACACUGGAACUGAGACACGGUCCAGACACCUACGGGUGGCAGCAGUCGAGAAUUUUUCGCAAUGGGCGCAAGCCUGAUGGAGCGACGCCGCGUGGGGGAUGAAUGGCUUCGGCCCGUAAACCCCUGUCAUUUGCGAACAAAUUGCUUUACCCAACACGUGGAGCAUUGAUAGUAGCGAAAGAGGAAGGGACGGCUAACUCUGUGCCAGCAGCCGCGGUAAUACAGAGGUCCCAAGCGUUGUUCGGAUUCACUGGGCGUAAAGGGUGCGUAGGUGGCAGGGUAAGUCGGAUGUGAAAUCUCCGAGCUCAACUCGGAAACUGCAUUGGAAACUACCCAGCUCGAGGGUUGGAGGGGGGACUGGAAUGCUUGGUGUAGCAGUGAAAUGCGUAGAUAUCAAGCGGAACACCAGUGGCGAAGGCGAGUCCCUGGACAACUCCUGACACUGAGGCACGAAAGCUAGGGGAGCAAACAGGAUUAGAUACCCUGGUAGUCC
This 788-nucleotide ribosomal RNA is filed under the name uncultured bacterium. RNAcentral's name for it is "bacterial SSU rRNA". It matches the Rfam family "Bacterial small subunit ribosomal RNA", at positions 36 to 796 of the family's 1533-position model. The record is from RNAcentral.